This 380-nucleotide ribosomal RNA is filed under the name uncultured eukaryote. RNAcentral's name for it is "partial 18S ribosomal RNA". It matches the Rfam family "Eukaryotic small subunit ribosomal RNA", at positions 592 to 976 of the family's 1831-position model. The record is from RNAcentral.
CAAUAGCGUAUAUUAAAGUUGUUGCGGUUAAAAAGCUCGUAGUUGGAUUUCUGUUGGGAACGACCGGUCCGCCCAUUGGGUGUGUAUCUGGCUUGUUCUCGGCAUCUUCUUGGUGAACGUUGCUGCACUUGACUGUGUGGAGCGCUACCCAGGACUUUUACUUUGAGGAAAUUAGAGUGUUUCAAGCAGGCAUAUGCCUUGAAUACAUUAGCAUGGAAUAAUAAGAUAGGACCUCGGUUCUAUUUUGUUGGUUUCUAGAGCUGAGGUAAUGAUUAAUAGGGAUAGUUGGGGGCAUUCGUAUUUAACUGUCAGAGGUGAAAUUCUUGGAUUUGUCAAAGACGGACUACUGCGAAAGCAUUUGCCAAGGAUGUUUUCAUUGA